UGAUAUUUGAUCAUUAUGCCUUUUACAUGCAAAUAUCAUUCUGGUGUUCAAAUAGAAAUUAAUAAUAUAUUUGGUUAAUUCAUUCUGAUGUUCCAGACAGCCAACUUUGGAAGGGACUCCGGUAUUAUUUACUUUAUCCAUAACUAUAGAAUAUUGAACAUACUACAUACAUAUAAUUGAAAUAUGGAACAUUAAUUAAAUUACAGUCUCCAAGCAGUAUAUUAUAUUCAUUAGACAUUCUGAUGGACUGAGUAAAUGUCCUCUAUUUCGCAUAUUUAUAAACUCUUGAACUUCUACUUCAAGAUUGGUACGAUCAUCUGAUGUUGAUAUAAGAGAAUUAAAACAAUCAUUGCAAGUUUUUGCUAAUGAAUGUUUUUUGGCAUUUCGAGCAACAUAACCAACAAAGUUUAAUCUAUGCUGUUUAUCUUCUUUUGAUGAAUGUUGAAUACUGACAAGAGAAUUCAACAUUUCUCCACCACUCACAUUGCUUCCUCUUGGUGGUUUUAUUAGUGAAUAGCAUGAUAAUAACCGAUAAACUUGGAUGAACUGUUUAGGAUCUGGAUUCUGAUUUGAACCACAUGCUUGACGUAAACAGCCAAAUAAAUGCUAAUGAAAAAGUCAUGUUGCAUAUAUAUUAUUUUAUAAGCACUCAUUUAAACAAAAUAAAGGUUAAAAAUUUAUACUUCUAAUUUAUCUUGAUU
Molecule: long non-coding RNA, 701 nt
Organism: Metopolophium dirhodum (rose-grain aphid)
Lineage: Eukaryota; Metazoa; Arthropoda; Insecta; Hemiptera; Aphididae
Exons: 3
Source: RefSeq, a predicted model, not a curated record